UGCUCACCAACUCUAUUCCCCUGCCCCCAUUGAAGCUUCUUCACCGCCAGUGGCAUCGUCUCCUUCUUUGUUUUUGGAUCUCACUAUUCAUUGCUCCUCUCUCUCUCUCUCUCUCUCUCGAGGACACCAUUGGAGGAGCUACGAGGAGGAGGAGAAGCGACAGUGAAAGGGGGGAUCGAGGGCGGAUGCGAUCGGUGGAGCUGGAAGGAAGAGGAACAUCGGUGACGAUCGGAGCUCGAAGGAGGAAGGGAAGCAUCAGCGUGAACUGAAGGAUUAGUGGUGGUACGAUCGGAGCGUCCCAUAUGUGCAUAUGGAAUACACGAUGAAAGCCCGAAUAGGCUUUUGAUUAUUUGUGUGUGCUCAAAUUUGUCAUACGAAGCUCUAUGUCAUAUAUGCAAGUGGAUGGUUCCGGUAGCUUGCUAAAUUCUUGUGAUUGUUAACAGCCUGCUCCUUCUUUCUUUUCUCCUUAUGAAUGUCUCUACUUUUAUAGCUUUUGUGGCACGGAAUAACAAAUCCAUUAGGACUUCUGCUUUGUGCACUUGACAAUGCUUUUCUUAGAUAAUGAUUUUGUAAAGGUUGUGAGUUUCACAACUCCUUGUUUUUCAAAGUUUCAUAUAGACACCCUUGAUUUACUUGAUUUCCUUAUUUGAAUGACUUUGAUCUGUUCCAGAUAUGUUUACUAUUAUAACAUAUCUUUGAAUUAGGCCCUGAUGUAUGUACACACUGACGGAUGACAUUAUUGGAAUGUGAUAUGAUACAAGUUAUAUGAGUAUAUUUACUCGAAAAGUUUUGAUUUCACUAUUAUUUGUGCAUUAUUCAAUAUUUGUGGCCGCUAUGUCCUUGCGGCCAAUUUUUUUUUUCCUUUUAUUUCCUUAACUUGAGUGUUACUUGUUAUGCUUUCCGGGGUGUAUUUCGUGAACUUAUUGAGGACAGACCACAAAAAUCCAUCAGAGAUGAGGUAGAUCUUGUGGCAUUACCAAAGCAGUUGUGGUGUUUACUGAAAGAAAAGAAUGUUGGUGAGGUAUCAGCAGAAGUUGGAUGGUUGUUUGACCAUGGCCAUGCCGUGACAUCAAGUUGUGUUUUCCUUCAGGAUGGAAGACUAAAGGAGAUAGUAUUAUCACAGGAUGUUGUGGUGUCAUGAAAAUAGUUCUGGUAGUUGAUUGAUAUAAGCAAAUGGUUCACUUAUUCAGCCACAUAAGCACAGAAGGAUGUGAUCACAUACAAAAAUGGAAAAGAAAAGUUUCUGUCAAAAUUAGGAGCUGCAGACAUGGCUGGAGAAAUUGGUGUGAUUUUCAACAUCCCACAGCCUUUCACAAUAUGUACAAAGAGGCUUUCUCAGGUUGUGAGAAUCAGUCAUCGGCAUUUCACUCAAAUUGUUCAACCUUGCAUUACAGAUGGCCAAACUAUUGUCUCCAAUUUUGUUCAGUUUCUCAAAGGUCUGAAAGAAGAAAUUCUUGAAGAAAUACCAUUUGCCGCAGAAUUGCUGGAAGACAUGAAUAACAUGAAUCAUAAACAACCUGGUGAAGCAAAAGAACGUGAGACAAUAAAUCCAAACAUGAAUGGUGAUGCACAAACAGAAGGUGGAUGUCAAGUGUCUGGUUGAAAAGCUUCUUGAAUAUGUCAUGAAUAACCACCUCGUUGUUCGAGAUCCUGAGACUAUUCUGCAGGCAUUGAAAAUAUCGCUGGUUAGAAUUACUCUCAUCUGCAUUUUCACUCUCGUCACCUCUGCUAUUAAAUAGUAGAUGACCAUGGAGAUGGGUUUCUUGGGUUGGGGAAGAUGGAGGAGGCGAGCUCUGCCACAUACUUGGUCUGGGAGGAUCUCAUGGCUGUGCUGGCCAACUAUGGCAGUCUAAGGCCAGCAAAGAAGCUGCUCCAGGGCCUCAGUGGGUAUGCGACUCCCGGAGGGAUCAUGGCCAUCAUGGGACCCUCUGGAUAUGGGAAAUCUACGCUUCUUGAUUCAUUGGCAAGUUUGGGGAUUUUGCCUUUUUUUGCUGAUUAUUUUGGGAAUUUGGUUUGAUUGGUGGUACUGGAACAUGGAGGUUGGGGAGAAAUGUUGUUCUCACUGGGAAGGUGUUGCUGAAUGGGAAGAAGAGGAGGCUUGAUUACGGCAUUGUGAAUCCUUCACAUUAAUGCAAGCUUACGUGACACAAGAAAAUGUUCUGCUUGGGACUCUGACAGUCAGAGAGACCAUCACUUACUCAGCUCACUUGAGGCUUCCUACCACUAUGAGAAAGAAGGAGGUGCAAGCUGUAGUGGAACGCAUCCAAAAGUUUAUCGUGCCACCAGAUGUUCCUCCUCUCAAAUGUAGAACUUAUGGUUGCUACUUAUGUGACAUUUGGGCAAACAAUGAUGCUGUGAAAAAUGCUGUGCACAUCCAGAAGGGAACUGUGCCAGAAUGGAUCAAAUGCAAUGAUUAUUUGCAGUAUGCUAAUGAUAUUCUGAGUAGUGUAAAAUACCAGUACAAGCUCACAAGCCAAGGUUAUAGAGCUCUUGUUUACAGGUGAAGCUAGAUCUACUUGAAAAACAUUGCUUCUCUUUGUUGAAUCAUCGUAUUACAGUUACUAACACCAGCUGAUGAGGAGGUGGCUAUAUGCAUUCAAUUAUGUAGGGUGUUGGUCACACAGCUCCAGACUACAAGCCAAGGGAGAGCCUGGCUAUGAUUAAGAGAUGGCUUUCACACCAACCACUAUAGUUUUUUUUUUAAUAAUAGAUGGCAAGUGUCCUCUACUUAAAAUUUUUGUUCUGCAAAUGUUGUCAACUUGGAUCUUGUUUGUUCCCCAGCAACAAGGCUGCAAUACUGAAUUUUAAUGUUGCAUGUGGAAUGGAGUUUUAAUGUUGUUUUGAUACAAGUGUUUGUAUAGUUAUACUACAUGAUUUCCAAUGUAUAUAUAGGGCGUCUAUAUGUAUUUUUAAUUCAA
Molecule: RNA transcript, 2918 nt
Organism: Dioscorea cayenensis subsp. rotundata (Guinea yam)
Lineage: Eukaryota; Viridiplantae; Streptophyta; Magnoliopsida; Dioscoreales; Dioscoreaceae
Gene name: putative serine carboxypeptidase-like 52
Exons: 13
Source: RefSeq, a predicted model, not a curated record